This 468-nucleotide ribosomal RNA is filed under the name uncultured bacterium. RNAcentral describes it as "partial 16S ribosomal RNA". It matches the Rfam family "Bacterial small subunit ribosomal RNA", at positions 28 to 507 of the family's 1533-position model. The record is from RNAcentral.
GACGAACGCUGGCGGCGUGCUUAACACAUGCAAGUCGAACGGAAAGGCCCUGCUUUUGUGGGGUGCUCGAGUGGCGAACGGGUGAGUAACACGUGAGUAACCUGCCCUUGACUUUGGGAUAACUUCAGGAAACUGGGGCUAAUACCGGAUAGGAGCUCCUGCUGCAUGGUGGGGGUUGGAAAGUUUCGGCGGUUGGGGAUGGACUCGCGGCUUAUCAGCUUGUUGGUGGGGUAGUGGCUUACCAAGGCUUUGACGGGUAGCCGGCCUGAGAGGGUGACCGGCGACAUGGGGACUGAGAUACGGCCCAGACUCCUACGGGAGGCAGCAGUGGGGAAUAUUGCACAAUGGGCGGAAGCCUGAUGCAGCAACGCCGCGUGCGGGAUGACGGCCUUCGGGUUGUAAACCGCUUUAGCCUGUGACGAAGCGUGAGUGACGGUAAUGGGUAAAGAAGCACCGGCUAACUACGUG